GAGUGAACGCUGGCGGUAGGCCUAACACAUGCAAGUCGAACGGCAGCCCAGUAAGAGCUUGCUCUUACGGGUGGCGAGUGGCGGACGGGUGAGGAAUACGUCGGAAUCUACUUUUUCGUGGGGGAUAACGUAGGGAAACUUACGCUAAUACCGCAUACGACCUACGGGUGAAAGCAGGGGAUCUUCGGACCUUGCGCGAUUGAAUGAGCCGAUGUCGGAUUAGCUAGUUGGCGGGGUAAAGGCCCACCAAGGCGACGAUCCGUAGCUGGUCUGAGAGGAUGAUCAGCCACACUGGAACUGAGACACGGUCCAGACUCCUACGGGAGGCAGCAGUGGGGAAUAUUGGACAAUGGGCGCAAGCCUGAUCCAGCCAUACCGCGUGGGUGAAGAAGGCCUUCGGGUUGUAAAGCCCUUUUGUUGGGAAAGAAAAGCAGCAGGUUAAUACCCCGCUGUUCUGACGGUACCCAAAGAAUAAGCACCGGCUAACUUCGUG
Molecule: ribosomal RNA, 493 nt
Filed under: uncultured bacterium
Lineage: Bacteria
Description: partial 16S ribosomal RNA
Rfam family: Bacterial small subunit ribosomal RNA
Source: RNAcentral